RNAcentral lists this ribosomal RNA (259 nucleotides) under uncultured bacterium. Its description in RNAcentral is "partial 16S ribosomal RNA". It matches the Rfam family "Bacterial small subunit ribosomal RNA", at positions 524 to 777 of the family's 1533-position model. The record is from RNAcentral.
UACGUAGGGUGCGAGCGUUAAUCGGAAUUACUGGGCGUAAAGCGUGCGCAGGCGGUUGUGUAAGACAGAUGUGAAAUCCCCGGGCUUAACCUCGGGAACUGCAUUUGUGACUGCAUAGCUAGAGUACGGGCAGAGGGGGAUGGAAUUCCGCGUGGUAGCAGUGAAAUGCGUAGAUAUGACGGAGGAACACCGAUGGCGAAGGCAAUCCCCUGGGCCUGUACCUGACGCUCAUGCACGAAAGCGUGGGGAGCAAACAGGA